This 447-nucleotide ribosomal RNA is filed under the name uncultured bacterium. RNAcentral describes it as "bacterial SSU rRNA". It matches the Rfam family "Bacterial small subunit ribosomal RNA", at positions 330 to 793 of the family's 1533-position model. The record is from RNAcentral.
UCCAGACUCCUACGGGAGGCAGCAGUGGGGGAUAUUGCACAAUGGGGGAAACCCUGAUGCAGCGACGCCGCGUGAGUGAAGAAGUAUUUCGGUAUGUAAAGCUCUAUCAGCAGGGAAGAAAAAAGACGGUACCUGACUAAGAAGCCCCGGCUAACUACGUGCCAGCAGCCGCGGUAAUACGUAGGGGGCAAGCGUUAUCCGGAUUUACUGGGUGUAAAGGGAGCGUAGACGGCAAUACAAGUCGGAAGUGAAAUACCCGGGCUUAACCUGGGAACUGCUUUGGAAACUGUAUGGCUGGAGUGCUGGAGAGGUAAGCGGAAUUCCUAGUGUAGCGGUGAAAUGCGUAGAUAUUAGGAGGAACACCAGUGGCGAAGGCGGCUUACUGGACAGUAACUGACGUUGAGGCUCGAAAGCGUGGGGAGCAAACAGGAUUAGAUACCCGUGUAU